Molecule: long non-coding RNA, 478 nt
Filed under: Hordeum vulgare
Lineage: Eukaryota; Viridiplantae; Streptophyta; Magnoliopsida; Poales; Poaceae
Description: long non-coding RNA (HVUL_LNC013448)
Source: RNAcentral
GCCAGAAUUUGAAUGCUUUUGAAUAAUAUGCACAGAAAAAUAGGAAACAUAGCACAUAGCUAACUGAAAUAGCAUAAAAAAUGCAGUUCGCACCAUAGCAAAUACAUAUCAGGUUCACACAGCAAGCAAAAUAACAACUAAACUGCAGUUGAAUUCAAAUAGACAUAGCCUAAUAGAGAUCAUGUGGCCAGAAUCUGUAGUUCCCAAACAGAUCCGAAUAAUAAGAUAAAUGGCAUAUUGCCAUUAUUGCACAAGCAGCCAAGCAGAAGUAGUUCAAAAACAGCCAAAAGAUUUUUAAAAACACUUAAUCUACUGCUUAGGGCCAAAGCAAAGCGUUUGCUCCACGCUUAAGCGUCACUUAAAAACGCUUUCUUGAACACUGAUAUAACAGCAUAUGCAUGUUACUACAAAUUUAAUAGUGUUAUAUGAUCAUUCAAAUUCUGCCUCUGAUGUCUUUUAGGGAUAUAUUACUUCCGUC